This 422-nucleotide ribosomal RNA is filed under the name uncultured bacterium. RNAcentral describes it as "partial 16S ribosomal RNA". It matches the Rfam family "Bacterial small subunit ribosomal RNA", at positions 360 to 774 of the family's 1533-position model. The record is from RNAcentral.
AAUAUUGGACAAUGGGGGCAACCCUGAUCCAGCCAUCCCGCGUGUGCGAUGAAGGCCUUCGGGUUGUAAAGCACUUUUGUUAGGGAAGAAAAGGCUCUGGCUAUUACCUGGAGCUGUUGACGGUACGUGCAGAAUAAGCACCGGCUACCUACGUACCCGCAGCGGCGGUAAUACGUAGGGUGCAAGCGUUAAUCGGAAUUACUGGGCGUAAAGCGUGCGCAGGCGGUUCGGCAAGAAGGAUGUGAAAACCCAGGGCUUAACCUUAGAACUGCAUUCUUAACUGCCGGGCUAGAGUAUGUCAGAGGGGGGUAGAAUUCCGCGUGUAGCAGUGAAAUGCGUAGAGAUGCGGAAGAAUACCGAUGGCGAAGGCAGCCCCCUGGGAUAAUACUGACGCUCAUGCACGAAAGCGUGGGGAGCAAACA